AGAAAAGGAAAAAAGACCACCCACACCCAAGUACUCCAAGAACCGGACGACGGCGGCGGCGGCGGCCUCCCCCUUCACGGCGGCGGAGACCUUCAGAUGGAUGCCACAGCCCUUAAUUAUGAAAACCAGAAGUUGGUGCAGCAAUUGGAAGCACAGAAGUCUGAAAUGCAUUUGUUGGAAGCUAAGUUCAAGGAGUUGAGGAAUGAACAAUCUUCUUAUGACAAUACUCUGAUUUCCCUGGAUAAGAUGUGGAAUCAGCUUGUUGAUGAUUUAAUCCUGCUUGGAGUUCGAUUUGGUGGUGGUUUGAACAAUUUGCCUGCACUUGACCAUGAAGAGUUGUCAGAAGAAUCCAUCGAGUUGUGUCCUUCUGAUGAAAUUUUUCUCUUCAUGCUCUUGAAGUCCAACAAUUAUGGAAAAAAGGGUGACAAUAGCUUGUUGGAAUUUGCUGAAGAAGCUCUUGCUUUGCGCCGUUCGGCAACUCUUGCUCUGAUGAGGUCCCUUCAAGAGGCUAUUGCUGCACAACAGGCUAGAAGUGAAUAUUUGUCAUUAGCUUUAAAUGGAGAGAAGUCAAAUGAAGAUGUUGUUGUUGCCCUUCAAAACCAUAAUGAUCACUUGAAAGAGGUGGUUGGCAAUGUCCUUGAAGCUAUUUCUAUCGUCGAUGAGAAGCAUAAAAGGUAUCUGGAUGAGAUUGAGGCUUUCAAAAGCAGCUACUCAAAAGAAUUGCAGGAAAUCAAGCAUCUUUCAGGAGAGCUAGAGGAAACCAUGGCGGAGCUUGAGGAAAGCCGACGGAAGUUGGUUAUUCUCCAGUUGCAAAGGCAUGGAAGUUCGCUAAUGAACAUGUCUGGUCCAAACGCCGUGAAUGGUGCUGUUUCGGCUGAUAAAUCUUCAGAUGAAAACAUGGGCUGGGGAGAUCUUAAAGAUGCUGUUGACGAAGCUAAGACCCUUGCAGGAAACCGCCUGCUUGAACUCCAUGAGACUCAAGAGGAUAAUCUAAUACUGUCUAACCAGUUAGAAAAUCUGCAGGCUCAAUUAAAAGAUGAUAACUAUAUUUUCACAUCAAAACCAUAUACGAUUCUUAGCGAUCAGUUACAUCAUCUGAAUGCUGAGAUAGAACGAUACAAGGGUUUGGUUGAAGUAUUACAGAAUGAUAAGAACCAGUUCUUGCAAAGGGAGAAAGAAAUGUAUGCAAAAGGAGAAUCCGUCGACAAUAUUAAACAAUCCAUUACCGCUUAUGAGGCCAAAAUCGAAGAACUGGAACAUCAGAUUCUGAAAUCCAUGGCUGAGAAGAAUGAUCUUGAGAUCAAAGUUGAGGAAUCAUUGCAAGAUUCAGGUAAAAAAGACUUCAAGGAUGAGAUUCAUGUCAUGGCUGCAGCACUCUCUAAAGAGAUGGAAAUGAUGGAGAAUCAAUUGAAUAGAUCAAAGGAUGCGGCUUCUGAAGCACUUGCAUUACGUGAAGAAGCUGAAUAGUUUAGAACCUUGUUAGCUAAGAAGAUCAGUGAACAGAAGGAAAUAUCUGAUAGAUACAACACACAAGUCUCCGAGAUCAAGUCCCUCAAAGAAUUGAAAAACAAGGAAGUAUUGCCCUUCGAUGGUCCGAAGCCAAGCUCUUGCAACUUUGCACCGUGUCAGGAUUGCCAUUCAUGGUUUCUGAAUGAAAUUUCAACAGAUUGGGACGUUGCAAAAGGAAAAUCAGGAGUUAGAAUUUAUUGUGGAUAUGUAUGGGAAAGAAUGUUCUGAGUCGAGAGAUCAAGGAAUCAGAAAAUCGAGCUCGCAAGCAGGCUGAAUAUUUGAGAACUAGUCUAGAGGAGCAUAGUCUUGAGCUUCGUGUAAAAGCAGCAAAUGAAGCCGAAACUGCAUGCCAGCGAAGGCUUUGCAUUGCUGAAGCAGAACUGGAAGAGUUAAGGACCGAUGUAGAUGCAUCUGAAAGAGAUGUACUGGAACUCAAGGAGGCAAUAAGAAUUAAAGAAGCGGAAGGAGAUGCUUAUAUCUCUGAAAUUGAGAUAAUUGGUCAAGCAUAUGAAGACAUGCAGACACAAAACCAGCAUCUUCUUCAAUAGGUUGCCGACAGAGAUGAUUUUAACAUAAAGCUAGUAUCAGAUAGUGUGAAGACAAAGCAAGCCUCUGCUUCCCUUCUCUCUGAAAAGCAUUUGUUACAGAAGCAACUCCAUCAGGUUAACAGCUCACUGGAGUCAUCUAAACAAAAACUCUCCCGUGGUGAAGAGCAGAUGAAAGCCUAUGUCGCACAAGCUAUAAAAACUUCUUCAGAGAACAGGCAUCAUGCAAUUACCAUUGAAAAGACUCUGCUGGAGGUAUCUGACGCAGAGAAGGAGCUCAAGUGGCUUCGGUCCGCCGUUGGAUCCUCUGAGAAAGAAUAUGAGCAAAACCAGAAAAAAAUAGCUGAGCUCAGAACGGAGCUGGAACGUGAGAGAAGCGAGAAGAGAAAGCUUGAGGAAGCAUACGAGGAGGUUAAGAAUGAAGUCAUGGAGCUGACAUCUGAGAACGAAGAAGCUACUAUCCAGAAGCUCCAGGACGAGAUAAAAGACUCCAAGGCUAUUCUCAAGUGUGGCGUGUGCUUUGACCGGCUGAAAGAGGUUGUGAUCACCAAAUGCUUCCACCUGUUCUGCUCGACCUGUAUCCAGAGGAACCUCGAGCUACGCCACCGGAAGUGCCCAGGCUGCGGCACCCCUUUCGGGCAAAACGACGUGCGAGAGGUGAAGAUCUGAAGUCUCAGCGAGGCUGGCUUGGAUGACCUGGUACCCUUGGACAGCAGACAGCACCAACCUGCUCUCCGUGCUUGUCUCUUGUAGAUAUGUAAUAGUUUCCGGUUUUCUCAUGGGGGCGCUUAGAUCCAGCAAAGAAGUAAAAAUAUAACCCUUUAAGAAAGCGCGCGAACGUGCUCCAGCGGAUUGUAUGUGCGCAAUGGCCUCCCAACUGUUGAUCCACCGUGAAAAACCAGCUGUGUGCCAUGCAGAUGUCGGAAAAUACUGAAGUCAAAAAAGUUUGUUGUAACUUCAUUGCCUGUGUGAUUUUUGUUUGUCU
Molecule: ribosomal RNA, 3039 nt
Filed under: Triticum aestivum (bread wheat)
Lineage: Eukaryota; Viridiplantae; Streptophyta; Magnoliopsida; Poales; Poaceae
Description: partial small subunit ribosomal RNA
Source: RNAcentral